This 3114-nucleotide long non-coding RNA is filed under the name Cucumis sativus (cucumber). Its description in RNAcentral is "long non-coding RNA (CSAT_LNC002227)". Lineage: Eukaryota; Viridiplantae; Streptophyta; Magnoliopsida; Cucurbitales; Cucurbitaceae. The record is from RNAcentral.
UUCCAAAGCGAAAAUUUUCCUCAUCCUUUUAUUGCUGAGUGCGAGUGUAAGCUAUUCUAUUUCAGAGGAUCCAGUUCCAACCCCAUGGCCUCUUCAAUUUCAUUCCAUUCUCCUCAUGAACUACUCCGGGAUUCCUCAGAUAAUCAACCUCUGGUACGACUGGCCUAAUGGUCGGAACUUCAACAUCAUCCAACACCAGCUCGGCCACGUUCUCUACGACCUCGAAUGGAACAAUGGUACUUCCUUCUUCUACACCUUAGAUUCCUCCAAGACUUGCUCUUCCGCUCAGCUUGAGGUUGGUAUUCUCCGACCCAACUGGCUCGAUGGAGCCAAAUAUCUGGGUCAACGCCAUGUCGAUGGCUUCCUUUGCAAUGUGUGGGAGAAAGUUGAUUUCAUUUGGUAUUAUGAAGAUGUUGAAACCAAGAGGCCUGUUCAUUGGCUCUUCUACACUGGUAACAUCUUUUCUUCUGUCUCUCUAGCUUUCUCAUAUGAAAAUUCUAAAGAAUUUUAAUUAGAAACUCUUUCUUCCUAGUUCUCAAUCACUAAUACCCCAAAUCAAUUUGAUUCCAAUCCUAAUGUUUGGGUUAGACACGGAUUGCCAUUAUGGUCAAUCACACUCGAAUGUCGUUGACUUACAAAAUUGCAAAAUUAGAGCUUGAUUGACUAAUCUUGAAAUAAGCACAAAUGCCACAACUUUCAUUGUUAAACUAUCUAACAAGACUUUAAAUAUCCUUCCAAAGAAAAUGGUAAUGCCACAUUAUAGUCAAUAAAAAGAGAAAAAAUACCUGUACCAAUUACCGCCAUGCUAUUCAAUUGGCAACAAUCAUAUUGACACUUUCAUUCUUAACUUCCUGAUAUUCACUAUUCAAUGGUGUUUUUCCUUUCCACAACUGUGCAGGAAGACAGGCUCAUGUGAUGACAUUUGAAGUGGGUGCUGUGCUAGACGAUGAGAACUGGCAAGCCCCUGUUUACUGCUUUGAUAGCACGGGAACUGCUGUCAAUGAUGUGGCUCUCCACCAGAAUUUGCCUCUAAUGGCUGAUGUUAACAAUAGGCUUCUCCACCAGAAUUUCCCUGCCAUUUGACACCUUUUUUGUAGUCCCAUCCCAUUGCGCUGAACUUGUUCAAUUUGAAUAAAUUAGACACUGAAGCUUGUAUAUCUAUCUUCAUGUUUGUUCUUGUUCAAGUGAAUAUGGAAUUGCCAAGUAUCUUUCUAAUAAUGUAUAUAUUCCACUGCAAAAAAUAACAUGAACGGCGCUACUAGUAAACUACUUAACUAUAAUACAAGAUGCAGUAAGGAAGUAUGACUUAUCGUCUACUCAGACUCCUGGAUUGAAAUGCUUCUUUCUGCAUAGCGUUCUUCUAAUGUUCUCAGCAUUUUGACUGACCUCUCGCUGCUCAAGCUUUGCAUUAAGGCUUUCUUUUCCUACUCUCCAAGUGCAUUAAAUAUGAAAACAGAUUUGUCGCCAACAUCAUCGUGGAAAUGAAUAUGAAACCAGUCGGACAAAGCAGCAAUAAAAUCCAACUACAUAUUCGUGGCGUUUGUUUCUUUGCAUAUGACAGCUUGUCUUCUUCAAAGAUUCUGAAACCGACUUUCGCACAAUGAAGAUUCUUAAAGACUAUGAAGAAGCAUCUGGUCAGGCCAUUAAUUAAGGUAAAUCAAUGUUUAUCAAUAAUAAAGGUGUUUCUCUGCGAAGAGAAAAGCUAUCGAAGCUUAGCUUGGUUUACACGUAGUGAGAUCCUUUGACCUUUUAUCUCAGGUUGUCUUCCUUCAAUGGUCGUGACAAAGGUCAUAUUUCAGAGAGGUCAAGCAAAAGGUAGGUUCUGGAGGGCGUGCAAAAUUGGAAGAGAAGAAUUCCUUCUCUGCUAGGGGAAGGAGGUUUUGUUGAAAGUGGUUGUUCAAGCUAUUCCUUACUAUACAACGAGUUACUUCAAGCUCCAGAGGACCUUUGUAAAGAUCUUGAGAGGAUGUGUGUCCACUUUUCCACUUAAAAUUCACUGGAAAAGUUGGAGAAUAUACAUAGAAGGAUAAUUGAGAACCAUGUUUACUUUUUAGAAAAAUUUUUAGGAAUGUGCACAAUAUUUAGAUUGAAAAAUUUAGAAGGGUGUCCAAAUCAUAAGUUAUGACCAUGAAGAACAGUUUAUUAAAAUGUUUUAGAGGUUUAUCAAGAAUAAACUAUUAGAAUGGAUUAAUCGAUGAUUAUCACUAAUUGGUCAUAGGUUAUUGCAGUUUAAACUUCUUUUGACGGUUUUUUUUAUCGAAAAGAUGUCUUUCUCAAUAGUUUCUUCCCUCUCAUUAUUGACAAGACGAAUUAUUGACGAGGAGAAAUAGUUGACUUGGUUACUUUCUUUCUAUUUUACAAAGCUUUGAUGAAAAUUGAACUAUAAAUAAUAUAACUAAAUUUUAGAAAUGGUUGCAAAUAUAACCAUUAGAUUUAAAAUAAUUAAAUAUAUAACAACCUUAAAAAAAAUGAUAUGUAUAAUAAAAUCUAUCGAGAACACGACAUUGUAAUAUUUACAUUUUUUUUUUGAAGAUGUAAUUAUAAUUAUACCAAAAAUGACUGCACACUUUACCCUAAAUUCUAAUUAUUAAAAUCACUAAAUCAUAAAAAUUAUAAUUUUUAUAGUUAUAAAAAAAAAAAAAAAAGAAAUUGAAUCAUGGAGAAGAAAUAAAUGAGAAAAAGUGCGAGAGAGAAGAGAGAGAUAGAAGCCAUGGCUUCCAAGGCGAAAUUCUUCCUUAUCCUUUCAUUGUUGAGUGUGAGUGUAAGGCAUUCCAUUUCAGAGGAUCCAGUUCCAACCCCAUGGCCUCUUCAAUUUCAUUCCGUUCUCCUCAUGAACUACUCUGGGAUUCCUCAGAUAAUCAACCUCUGGUACGACUGGCCUAAUGGUCGGAACUUCAACAUCAUCCAACACCAGCUCGGCAACGUUCUCUACGACCUCGAAUGGAACAACGGUACUUCCUUCUUCUACACUUUAGAUUCCACCAAGACUUGCUCUCCCGCUCAGCUUGAGGUCGGUAUUCUCCGACCCAAUUGGCUCGAUGGAGCCAAAUAUCUGGGUCAACGACAUGUCGAUGGCUUCCUUUGCAAUGUCUGGGAGAAAGUUGAUUUCAUUUG